GUGAAUGGUAAAUAGCCGCGGUAACUUGACUGUGCAAAGGUAGCAUAAUCAUUAGUCUUUUAAUUGGGGGCUGGAAUGAAGGGUUUGACGAAGAUUUACUUUUUUAGUUUAUUUUACGAAUUUUAGGUUACAGUGAAGACGCUGUACUGGUGCUAAGUGACGAGAAGACCCCGUAAAGCUUUAGGCUUACUAGUGUAUUUGUGCUGUGUGUUUUUUGUUGGGGCAACAGGCAUGAGUAGCUAAUGGCUAUUUAUAAAUGUAUAAAAUUGUUAGUCUGAGUUAUGACCUAGUUUAUGUUAAAAUUUAGAUAAGUUACUUUGGGGAUAACAGCGUAAUUUGGUUGGAGAGUUCUUAUUGAUAGCCGAGCUUGCGACCUCGAUGUUGAAUUAAGAGUCCUUUUAGUUGUAGCUGGCUUUUAGUGGCGGUCUGUUCGACCGUUAAUAUUCUUACA
Molecule: ribosomal RNA, 451 nt
Filed under: Strigamia svenhedini
Lineage: Eukaryota; Metazoa; Arthropoda; Chilopoda; Geophilomorpha; Linotaeniidae
Description: partial large subunit ribosomal RNA
Rfam family: Bacterial large subunit ribosomal RNA
Source: RNAcentral